RNAcentral lists this ribosomal RNA (254 nucleotides) under uncultured bacterium. RNAcentral's name for it is "partial 16S ribosomal RNA". It matches the Rfam family "Bacterial small subunit ribosomal RNA", at positions 524 to 777 of the family's 1533-position model. The record is from RNAcentral.
UACGUAGGUGGCAAGCGUUGUCCGGAUUUAUUGGGUUUAAAGGGUGCGUAGGCGGUUGUAUAAGUCAGUGCUGAAAUAUCCCAGCUUAACUGGGAGGGUGGCAUUGAUACUGUAUGACUUGAGUAGAGUUGAGGUUGGCGGAAUUGACGGUGUAGCGGUGAAUGACUUAGAUAUCGUCAAGAACACCGAUAGUGAAGACAGCUAACUAAGCUCUAACUGACGCUGAGGCACGAAAGUGUGGGGAUCAAACAGGG